AAGGAUUUCCAUCUGGCUGUACGCUCGCAUCGCGCCGGCUGAUUAUACCGGAAUGGUAUUCGACCCGGCCGCGUACGUACCAGGUGAAAGUGAGACGAAUUGGAUGUACCACGCCUUCCUUUCCACGUGGAUCGAGCAAAACUUCCCUGACCUGUUCGUCGCGUCGAUUUUCUUCAUCAACCCCCGGUGCUUGGUGGCUUAAUGAACGUGUAUAACGAAGCUGCUUCCAACUUGUGUAAUUGAUCGCGUGGGAUGGAGGAUGAAGACGAAGAGGCCAAUGACAUAAUGGUAGAGACGAGUGCCAGGCAACGAAGCUAUAAAAUUGACAAAUGUUAAUUGUUUUUUCACACAAAGUAUCCAAUUACUGUUACACUGGAAAUAAAAGAGUUUUGUUUAUUUA
This is a long non-coding RNA of Osmia bicornis bicornis, 400 nucleotides long. RefSeq lists it as uncharacterized. The transcript has 2 exons. Lineage: Eukaryota; Metazoa; Arthropoda; Insecta; Hymenoptera; Megachilidae. The record is from RefSeq and is a predicted model, not a curated record.